GACGAACGCUGGCGGCGUGCCUAAUACAUGCAAGUAGAACGCUGAAGGAGGAGCUUGCUUCUCUGGAUGAGUUGCGAACGGGUGAGUAACACGUAGAUAACCUGCCUGGAAGCGGAGGAUAACUAUUGGAAACGAUAGCUAAUACCGCAUAAUAGCAGUUGUUGCAUGACAACUGUUUGAAAGGGGCAAUUGUGCCACUACCAGAUGGACCUGCGUUGUAUUAGCUAGUUGGUGGGGAAACGGCUCACCAAGGAGACGAUACAUAGCCGACCCGAGAGGGGGGACGGCCACCCUGGGACUGGGGCACGGCCCCGGCCCCUUCCGGGGGCAGCCGGAGGGGAUCUUUGGCAAAUGGCGGAAGGCUUACCGAGGCACGCCGCGGGAGUGAAGAAGGGUUUCGGGUCGGAAAGCUCUGUUGUUAGGGAAGAACGAGUGUGAGAGUGGAAAGUUCACACUGUGACGGUAUCUUAUCAGAAAGCGACGGCUAACUACGUG
This 495-nucleotide ribosomal RNA is filed under the name uncultured bacterium. Its description in RNAcentral is "partial 16S ribosomal RNA". It matches the Rfam family "Bacterial small subunit ribosomal RNA", at positions 28 to 507 of the family's 1533-position model. The record is from RNAcentral.